RNAcentral lists this ribosomal RNA (293 nucleotides) under uncultured bacterium. RNAcentral's name for it is "partial 16S ribosomal RNA". It matches the Rfam family "Bacterial small subunit ribosomal RNA", at positions 28 to 313 of the family's 1533-position model. The record is from RNAcentral.
GACGAACGCUGGCGGCGUGCUUAAUACAUGCAAGUGGAGCGACGAACCAGGCUUCGGCCUGGGGCAGAGCCGCGAACGGGUGAGUAACACGUGGGUAACCUGCCUCGAUGACCGGGGACAACCCGGGGAAACCCGGGCUAAUACCGGAUGUGCUGUCCCCACAUCAGUGGAGACAGGAAAGGAAGCUUCGGCCUCCGCAUCGAGAUGGGCCCGCGGCCCAUUAGCUUGUUGGUGUGGUAACGGCUCACCAAGGCUGCGAUGGGUAGCUGGUCUGAGAGGACGAUCAGCCACAC